CAAGAUCUCCUCCAGUAAGUGAGACAGCUUAGGCAUUCCAUGCUGAGCUGAAGGUCAUGUUAUGUCAGGACGUAAAUCAGUACGCUAUGAUGUAUUUCGGUAUACCCUAGUGCUAAUGGAUAAAGAGACAAGUGCAAAAGUCUUAAAAGGAAACUGAGUAGAAGUUCUCAAUUACAAGCAUAUGUCACCUCAGACCAUGAAGAAGAAGUCACACCACACGGGUAAUUGCACGCUCAACUGUUUUCUGAGAAUUGCCAGGAUCUGAGCCAACUUACCAUCUCUGCAUUGUAUUCUUCACAGGUUUACAUGAAAUAAAUCUACUCUUUAUUUUUAAAGCUAUU
Molecule: long non-coding RNA, 341 nt
Filed under: Chinchilla lanigera (long-tailed chinchilla)
Lineage: Eukaryota; Metazoa; Chordata; Mammalia; Rodentia; Chinchillidae
Description: lncRNA (ENSCLAG00000028722.1)
Source: RNAcentral